AGUUAUGGCGGCUGUGCGUGGGAGACCGAAAGGUCUGCCGGGUUCCUAGAGUCUCGGUUCGCCAACCUGCGUACAGCUGCCACCCUU
Molecule: non-coding RNA, 87 nt
Filed under: Pseudomonas jinjuensis
Lineage: Bacteria; Pseudomonadati; Pseudomonadota; Gammaproteobacteria; Pseudomonadales; Pseudomonadaceae
Source: RNAcentral